RNAcentral lists this ribosomal RNA (421 nucleotides) under uncultured bacterium. RNAcentral describes it as "partial 16S ribosomal RNA". It matches the Rfam family "Bacterial small subunit ribosomal RNA", at positions 361 to 774 of the family's 1533-position model. The record is from RNAcentral.
AUAUUGGGCAAUGGGGGCAACCCUGAUCCAGCCAUGCCGCGUGUGUGAAGAAGGUCUUCGGAUUGUAAAGCACUUUAAGUUGGGAGGAAGGGCUUUAGGCUAAUACCCUGAAGUUUUGACGUUACCUACAGAACAAGCACCGGCUAACUCUGUGCCAGCAGCCGCGGUAAUACAUAGGGUGCAAGCGUUAAUCGGAAUUACUGGGGGUAAAGAGCGGGUAGGUGGUUCAGUAAGAAGGGUGUGAAAUACCCGGGCUUAACCUGGGAACUGCUUUCAUGACAGCUGGGCUAGAGUACGGUAGAGGGUAGUGGAAUUUCCUGUGUAGCGGUGAAAUGAGUAGAUAUAGGAAGGAACACCAGUGGCGAAGGCGACUACCUGGACUGAUACUGACACUGAGGUGCGAAAGCGUGGGGAGCAAACA